GAUGAACGCUGGCGGCGUGCUUAACACAUGCAAGUCGAGCGAGAAGUUUUGAAAAGAUUCUUCGGAUGAAAUUUAAAAUGGAAAGCGGCGGACGGGUGAGUAACGCGUAGGCAACCUGCCCCAUACAAAGGGAUAGCAUUUGGAAACGAAUAUUAAUACCUUAUGAAACUUAACUAGUGCAUGCUAGGUAGGUCAAAGAUUUAUCGGUAUGGGAUGGGCCUGCGUCUGAUUAGCUAGUUGGUGAGGUAACGGCUCACCAAGGCGACGAUCAGUAGCCGACCUGAGAGGGUGAACGGCCACAUUGGAACUGAGACACGGUCCAAACUCCUACGGGAGGCAGCAGUGGGGAAGAGUGCACAAUGGGGGAAACCCUGAUGCAGCAACGCCGCGUGAACGAUGAAGGCCUUUGGGUCGUAAAGUUCUGUUCUAGGUGAUGAAAACUGACAGUAACCUAGGAGAAAGCCCCGGCUAACUCCGUG
RNAcentral lists this ribosomal RNA (479 nucleotides) under uncultured bacterium. RNAcentral's name for it is "partial 16S ribosomal RNA". It matches the Rfam family "Bacterial small subunit ribosomal RNA", at positions 28 to 507 of the family's 1533-position model. The record is from RNAcentral.